RNAcentral lists this ribosomal RNA (465 nucleotides) under uncultured bacterium. RNAcentral's name for it is "bacterial SSU rRNA". It matches the Rfam family "Bacterial small subunit ribosomal RNA", at positions 338 to 795 of the family's 1533-position model. The record is from RNAcentral.
CCUACGGGUCGCAGCAGUGGGGAAUAUUGCACAAUGGGCGCAAGCCUGAUGCAGCCAUGCCGCGUGUAUGAAGAAGGCCUUCGGGUUGUAAAGUACUUUCAGCGGGGAGGAAGGCGAUAAGGUUAAUAACCUUGUCGAUUGACGUUACCCGCAGAAGAAGCUCAGGCUAACUCCGUGCCAGCAGCCGCGGCAAUACGGAGGGUGCAAGCGUUAAUCGGAAUUACUGGGCGUAAAGCGCACGCGGGCGGUCUGUCAAGUCGGAUGUGAAAUCCCCGGGCUCAACCUGGGAACUGCAUUCGAAACUGGCAGGCUAGAGUCUUGUAGAGGGGGGUAGAAUUCCAGGUGUAGCGGUGAAAUGCGUAGAGAUCUGGAGGAAUACCGGUGGCGAAGGCGGCCCCCUGGGCAAAGACUGACGCUCAGGUGCGAAAGCGUGGGGAGCAAACAGGAUUAGAUACCCCUGUAGUC